This 301-nucleotide ribosomal RNA is filed under the name uncultured bacterium. RNAcentral's name for it is "partial 16S ribosomal RNA". It matches the Rfam family "Bacterial small subunit ribosomal RNA", at positions 509 to 808 of the family's 1533-position model. The record is from RNAcentral.
CAGCCGCCGCGGGAACACGUAGGGUGCAAGCGUUAAUCGGAAUUACUGGGCGUAAAGCGUGCGCAGGCGGUUAUUCAAGACUGAUGUGAAAUCCCCGGGCUCAACCUGGGAACUGCAUUUGAAACUGGCAAGCUAGAGUCUUGUAGAGGGGGGUAGAAUUCAGGUGUAGCGGUGGAAUGCGUAGAGAUCUGGAUGAAUACCGGUGGCGAAGGCGGCCCCCUGGACAAAGACUGACGCUCAGGUGCGAAAGCGUGGGGAGCAAACAGGAUUAGAUACCCCUGUAGUCCCUGUCUCUUAUACA